Molecule: ribosomal RNA, 441 nt
Filed under: uncultured bacterium
Lineage: Bacteria
Description: partial 16S ribosomal RNA
Rfam family: Bacterial small subunit ribosomal RNA
Source: RNAcentral
CCUACGGGUGGCAGCAGUGGGGAAUAUUGCGCAAUGGUGGCAACCCUGAUGCAGCAACGCCGCGUUAUUGAAGAAGGCCUUCGGGUUGUAAAGAUCUUUAAUCGGGGACGAAUUUUGACGGUACCCGAAGAAUAAGCUCCGGCGAACUACGUGCCAGCAGCCGAGGUAAUACGUAGGGAGCAAGCGUUAUACGGAUGUACUGGGGGUAAAGGGCGUGUAGGCGGGCAUGCAAGCCAGAAGUGAAAUCUGGGGGCUUAACCCCCAAACUGCUUGUGAAACUGCGUGUCUUGAGUGAUGGAGAGGCAGGCGGAAUUCCUAGUGUAGCGGUGAAAUGCGUAGAGAUUGGGAGGAACACCAGUGGCGAAGGCGGCCUGCUGGACAUUAACUGACGCUGAGGCGCGAAAGCGUGGGGAGCAAACAGGAUUAGAGACCCUUGUAGUC